Triticum aestivum (bread wheat) is the source of this 4809-nucleotide long non-coding RNA. RefSeq lists it as uncharacterized. NCBI's taxonomy places the organism in Eukaryota, Viridiplantae, Streptophyta, Magnoliopsida, Poales, Poaceae. The record is from RefSeq and is a predicted model, not a curated record. The transcript is spliced from 5 exons.
CCCUAGCCAUUCCCUCUCGCUCCCCCCCGCUCUCCUCUCCUCCCUGUCGCCGCCAGCCAUCCUCCCAGCCCCGCCUCUUUUCCUCCCCACAGCCCCCCUCCUCCAGAGAAGCAGCAGGCCCCGCCCGCCGCGCCGCCGCCGCCGUCGCGCGCGACCCUCCUCUCUCGACGCCCGCUCGCACCGACGCAUCCAGGGCUGCUCUGGCUCGCGUGGCGCCUCCACCGCCGGCAGGAGGGGGCCGCAGCGGCCGUCGUGCAGCCCGACGACCAGGAGCGCCUCGCUUGUCCGCGUCCACGCCUUCGGCGGCUCCUACGCCGACGAGCUCGUCUCCACCGCGGUGAGCGCCCCCACGCUGCCCACCAACCCUGCGCCUGCCCUCCCACUCUGAUCCUCGUAGCCUUGCCUAGGUCUAGGAGCCGGUGGCCCGCGGGAGGAUCUCGCCCGUGAGGCGAUCCACGUCUGCGUCAGCAGCUUGUUGAACUGCGAGUACUCCGGGUACGCCGCCAGGAUCUUGGUGAUGUUGUACCCCUCCGCCGCCGCCGCCAGGGCCAGCACCGCCAGCGCCACCGGCAACGUCCGCCGCCGCGCCUCCAUUAUCCUCUCCUCCUUGGUCGGUGCCGCUGCCGUCGGCGUUUGGAGCUUGGCCGCUAGCGCUGGCCGGGGUCGUUUCAGCUCAGCUCGGGAUGGAGUGGGGCGGAAUGGUGGAGAGCACUGAGCUGAGCUGAGCUGAGCAGAGCACCACUGAUGGUGUAAUCCUCCUCAUCCACGACGCCCAUCUCCGGCCAUGGCGACCUCGGAUCUCCGGCCCUGGUUGCUCAGAUGUUGUUGCUGCUGCUGCAGGUGGACGUGGUGAGCUCCAUCCCAUCUUUUUACCCUGCUGAAGCACAUACUGAUCAUGUGGAGUUUUUCGAACUGCCUGCUAUAAAGGUCAGGGAAGAAUAGCACAACAUGGAUUCAUAAACCCACGGUGGGUGGAUGGUGAGCUGUUGGUACUCAAUGGCAAGGUAAAAAAACAUCUGGCGCUUUUGGUUUGCAUUUGCAGCAUCACUGCUAGAAUUCUACUGAAAUAAAUGUCUAAGCAUCACCAUCAUGUAUAAGUUGUGCACGCUAAAAUAGUUGUAUUCAAUUUUGGAGACUUUUAGAGUAUAGUGCUGCCGUUUCCAUUUGGAAGACAUCAAUAUAGUGUUUCCAAUUCCAAGAUUAUAUUUCUGGAUCUAAGUAGCGUAUAUUUCUAGCAUCCUUCUGUGCUAAGAAUUUUAGAGAAAUCUAACUUUGAGAGAAAUAUAGUGUUUCCUAUUUGUAAAACUAUAGAGAUUAUAGAAGUAUUGGAUGCCAGAAUAUAGUGUUUCCAGGAUUGCUUCGGCUAAAGCUUAUAGAUUGUUUUCUAUCAAUGUUAGAUUUGUUUAUUGAUGUCUUCCAAGUACUCAUUUGAUGUCACUUCCUGACUUUUGUAGAGUUUUAUAUCUUGGCAAAAUACUUUGUAAAAGAAAUGAUACGUAAAUAUGAGGUCUCGAAAGUUCUGUGUAUUUUCAGAGCAUGGAAACUAAAUAAACACUUUGAGUCCAUCAUUUUGUGUUUGAAAGCUCUUCAGAUUUUGUUUAUUUGCUACCGUUGGCAUUGGACAUAUUACUCAUGCAGUGAUACAUAUAUCAUAUAUGUGAUGAUUUCUGACUUGACUUAUGCUAUCUCCUUGGUCCUCUGCAUGUUCUGGUUGUUGACAAGCAGGCAAUGUGCCAUGAUGAGAGCAACGCAAGUAAUGGUUGUUUUAGUGUUGCAUAUACAUCACUGAUUGUGUGUAUCUACUUCUCAGUUGGCUGAAUAAUUAGUGGCUCACUAAUUAAACAAGCAUGGAUGCUAGAGCUAAUUUGUAGCCCCCUAAUUUAACAACCCAGGAUGCUAAAACUUUCUACAAUGGAGCUAAUUAAACAAACCAGGAUGCUAGAAUUAAUUAUUUAGUGCCAUUAUCGAAGUCAACUCCAGUUGUGUUAUCGGAAAGCGCUGUAAUCGGAAACGAGACUUUUCCACCCAACCAAACGCGUCGAUAAAUUGUUCUAUGCAACUGAAUGAAGCAACUUAUUAUAGUAUAUGCCUGAUAGCUAUGGCCAUGUAGAUUUUUAUUACCUUUUUUAUUGUGUUCCUCCUUUUGGUACUUCCUCUCUUGUGUUCGUGCUCUUAGUACCGAACUUAACGUCAGGUGGUUACCUUUUGUGGUUUCACGAAUGCGCACUGAACUGAAUGUUGCCUUAAUUCUCAUGAUGAUGUUGAACUCAAUGAUGUUUUGCUCCUAUUACAUGUGAAUGUUUAUUUUUUCCUUUUAGUUUGUUAUAUCCUGUUUGAAUACCCGUGCUAAACCUGGAUUCCUUCUAACUUAGCAUUACUGGUUUUGAUCAACAUGUUGGGACCGCACCCUCGCGCCAAGGUUUAAUGGUUGGUUAUUUCUCCUCUGUUGAACCAUACUCUUUUCCUCGCUGGGCAACCAUAUGUAUGCAGAGAUGCCUAAGAAAUUUGUUAACCAAUUUAUAUGUGUCCUCCAAGAGUGUGGGUUGAUGAUCGUUGCAAGUUUCUGGUCUUUCUCAAGAAGUAUGUCUUCGGGGCGGUGGAGAGUCAAUACAUGAUUAAGUUCACUAGGUAUACAUCUGUUGCAUGGUGGGAGGGUCUAGAAGCAGAAUGUCCUUUCUGCACCUAUGCAUUGACUCCAAUUAAUCAGCUCCCAAGGUCUACAAACAUGCCUGAGCGUUUCACAGAUGUGGCUGGGAUUAUCCCAGUUUUCUUCCUUUUUUCAUGUUGGAAUCAGUGACAAUACCUUGCCGGGGUGGGUACCAGGAGAUGAGUCUCGUGGCGGUGAGCGGAAUGGAGACAAGGAUGGCGACUUGAUGCUUCUCAGAGACCUCCUCUGGAGGUGAAUUUUCUGGGCCUUUUGUUUGCUAUUUCACAGAGUUGUAUCUGCAUGCUCAUGUUGUUCUUCAGCUUAUGUCAUGUAGUUUAGGUUCAUAUAUACACUACUUAAUUAGGUUCAGGAGAUGGUUCGCUGUUGGACGUGUGCUAUGGGAUGUUUUGGUGGUCUGAUGCUUUUAGCCACCGCUCUCGUUCAGGAGGUGCUCCUUUAUCUUGACCAUGACUCUGAUUUUUAGUUAGACACCAUGUUUGCAGAUUCAGUUCCAAAGUCAGGGUACUGUUUUUUAUUUUUUGUAAGCAUUAGUGAGCUGAAAUAUGUAGAGUUUGGAUUGGGGAUAUAAGCAUUGUUAAACUAAAGAAGCCUUUCCAUGCUCAGCAUUAUUGGCGACCUCUCUAAUUUGGAGUUGUGAACCAAUGGGAGAUUCAUCGUUUAAUAUUAUUCUUUAAUCACUAAAUCAUAUAGGAGAUUCCUUUGCUGCCCCAUUAACCAAAUAUUAGUGUUACUAAAAAACUGACAAAAUGUUAUUCUGGUUGCGACUGAGCCCUACUGAGGCAAGGUCGCCCCUUUUAACCGCUUACAUCCUCAAUAGGUGAGUCCCUGGCACCCCUCUCUCUAUUGAUUGAUCCAUAUAUCGCCAGGAAAGAAUGGCUAUCAGUUCAACUACUAUUGGACUAUGAAUUAUUGUUUUUUUAGGGAAAUUAAUUACUCCUUGGAGAAUCAUAGAUCCAUGUUCUAUUUUUGUCAUGUAAGUUAGGUUAUAACUAUGUAGUUACAACCACAUAUUCAGAGUUGCAAUAAAAAACAAUUAAUAAUAGAAACAAGUCAAUUAUGCGACUCGGUUGCGUCUUUCCGCAUAUCAAUCUUGGUUUAGGUCAUUUAUUAUUUGAUCCAGUGAUUGUGUUGAUGGCUUAGUUUCUAUUUCUUCAGAAAGGCACAAAUAGGAUCAACCCUAUCCAAUUAAAGUUUAAUCACCUCACAUAUACAUGCUUUUUUUGAAUAUAUAUAGUUGUAUUCAAUUUGGCUAGGAUGUAAUCCCAGUGCUGCUAAAGUUAUUCCCCAAGAAAUCACAUAUUUGCAGUGUUCUUUUUGAAGAAAUGUCUUCCUGCACAAUACUAUGUAUGGCUAGCUGCUAGCUGUUGAUAUAUAUUGAUUUCUGUCAAAGAGAUUGCAGUUAUAUAAACCUUAAUUAGACAUCUUUGAAGGGAGUUUAGCCAUUCCAUAUUUCUCUUUUGGGCAUGUGUUGGCAUGAGAUUAGUACCAGCGACUGUGGUGGCUUACAUGAGAAGUGUUACAUGUCUUGGCAUGGUUUUAUAUAAGCCAGUAACACCGUUUUAUUUUCUGUCUGUCAUGAUUUAUCAGUUUGGUUGUUAUAAAUCUGUUUUUCAUCAAGCUCAUAUCACUGUUUAUUUGAAUUCCUUGCAUUUGUGAUUAGUUGACGGUAUAAGCCUUAUUUAUCAAGUGAAUUUGUAGACUGAUGUACUUGCAGACUAAUAAUAGUAUUGACAUUUGCUUACUAACUAAUGUCUCUGUAGCAGGCUAAUUUGUGUGUUUUUGGUUGUGGCAGACCAUUUUUAGUCAAAUUGAGAAACAACCGCCUUUUUGUCUUGGCCCAUAACCAGCCGUGAAAGACGAGAUGUUUAUGCUGCCCUUCUACCUUCCUCCUUGUCCCUAUUUUUCCCCAUCGCGUGUUGCGCUCUCUGAAGUAAAAUAAACAGGAAACUGUAUGCUGAAAAGUGGGGUGAUAAAUAUCUAGUUACUAGAUUAACUAAAUUUGUGAUCCCAAUAUUGUGAGCAAAAUAGUGAAAUGUCAGGGUUUGCUCUACUGCAAAUUUGCAGUUUACUUGAACUUUGUUGUGAUGAGCAAUUCUGGUCUGACCAAACUAAUAAAUGCAUGUGCUUUCCAUGUUUUGUUC